GACGAACGCUGGCGGCGUGCUUAACACAUGCAAGUCGAGCGGUAAGGCCCUUUCGGGGGUACGCGAGCGGCGAACGGGUGAGUAACACGUGGGUGACCUGCCCUUAGCUCUGGGAUAAGCCUGGGAAACUGGGUCUAAUACCGGAUAUGACUCCAUGACGCAUGUUGUGGGGUGGAAAGCCUUGUGCGGCUAGGGAUGGGCCCGCGGCCUAUCAGCUUGUUGGUGGGGUGAUGGCCUACCAAGGCGACGACGGUAGCCGGCCUGAGAGGGCGACCGGCCACACUGGGACUGAGACACGGCCCAGGACUCCUACGGGAGGCAGCAGUGGGGAAUCUUGCGCAAUGGGGCGAAGCCUGACGCAGCGACGCCGCGUGAGGGAUGACGGCCU
This 388-nucleotide ribosomal RNA is filed under the name uncultured bacterium. Its description in RNAcentral is "bacterial SSU rRNA". It matches the Rfam family "Bacterial small subunit ribosomal RNA", at positions 28 to 417 of the family's 1533-position model. The record is from RNAcentral.